This 433-nucleotide ribosomal RNA is filed under the name uncultured bacterium. RNAcentral's name for it is "partial 16S ribosomal RNA". It matches the Rfam family "Bacterial small subunit ribosomal RNA", at positions 29 to 507 of the family's 1533-position model. The record is from RNAcentral.
AACGAACGCUGGCGGCAUGCCUAACACAUGCAAGUCGAACGAGACCUUCGGGCCUAGUGGCGCACGGGUGCGUAACGCGUGGGAACCUGCCCUUAGGUUCGGUAUAACUCCCCGAAAGGGGUGCUAAUACCGGAUAAUGUCUUCGGACCUAAGAUUUAUCGCCUCUGGCUGGGCCCGCGUUGGAUUAGCUAGUUGGUAGGGUAAAAGCCUACCAAGGAGACGAUCCAUAGCUGGUCUGAGAGGAUGAUCAGCCACACUGGGAAUGAGACACGGCCCAGACUCCGACGAGAGGCAGCAGUGGGGAAUAUUGGACGAGGGGCGAAAGCCUGAUCCAGCAAUGCCGCGUGAGUGAUGAAGGCCUUAGGGUUGUAAAGCUCUUUUACCCGGGAUGAUAAUGACAGUACCGGGAGAAUAAGCACCGGCUAACUCCGUG